This 254-nucleotide long non-coding RNA is filed under the name Elaeis guineensis (African oil palm). RNAcentral's name for it is "long non-coding RNA (EGUI_LNC065416)". Lineage: Eukaryota; Viridiplantae; Streptophyta; Magnoliopsida; Arecales; Arecaceae. The record is from RNAcentral.
GCUAGGAUUAUUGGUAUAGUAAUUAAGUACAGAAAUAGUAUGAGCAAUAUCAGGUCUAGAUGAAUGGAUAGAUAUUUGAGAGAUUCAAUAAUUUCAGCAUAUCUUUCUUGACUCACAGAUUUAUCAGAGUUCUUUGAGAGUUAGAUAGAAGGAUCAAAAGGAGUAGAAAUAAGAAAUCAAAAUAACAAAAAUUUACAAUCAACAACUGUGCAUAAUGAGAUUGAGAUAAAGUAAUAGAAUUAGAGGAUAAAAUG